GUGAGUGUGCAUGCAUGUGGUAUUUUGUGAGUUGGUUCUCUCCUUCCAUCAUGGGACAUGUGACCUUGGGAUAGAAGAACUCAGGUCUUCAGGCUUUUGCUGCAAAUGCUUUUACCACUGAGCCAUCUUACCUCCCCAUUCUCACGCAUUUACAUCCACUGUGCUAGCAUAGUUUGUCUAAGAGACUACUGUCCUUUCCCAUGGAGUAUUGCUGUAUUCCUGCUGAAGUCGUUUGACAUGUACCCAUGGAUUUAUUUCUAGGCCUUGGUUCAUUUGCCUCUGUAUGGAUGAUUUUGUGGUUUUAUUUAUAGUGUUAUUCAAAGAACAGUGAUUAUAGUUUCUUAUAAAGUCUGGUUUAUGAAGACCAAGGUCACAGAUUAUUAUUUCUCUGUUCUCUUUUAGAAGUUUCAUGUUUUUACAUUUUGUUGUGUUAUAUGCUGAGUUUGUAUAUGGUGUAAGAUUUCAAUGAAGAGUUUUCUUAGGUAUUUUUGACAUAUACUAACAAGAUAAGCAUUGUUUGAUUAAAAGGAUUCUCGUAUCUCCUUUCAAUGGUUGAGAAUGUAUGAAAUGGUAGUGAUGCUGGUUUCUCCUUGAGAGCAUUGUGAUAGAGAAGAGCCAGCCUCUUUAUUUUAUUUUAUUUUAUUUUAUUUUAUUUUAUUUUAUUUUAUUUUGUAAAAGCUGUAGUUGUGCUUAAUAAUCUCACCCUUCCCAGUGGAGUCCAGCUGUCAGCACAGUGUUCUGUCCUGGAAACAUGUGCAUACUUAAUGUGCUGCUUCCUCAGACAGGUAGCUUGGUGGGCUUGGCUGGAUAUGACAGUUACCUGAUGGUGCUCACCAGUUUACGAAGUAAGCAUAGAUCAAAUAUCAUAUGCCUUAAAUGUUUGCACUUUUACAUGUCAUAUUACAAAAAGUUAGAAGGUAUUAUCUACUGUAAUGCCUACUGAAAAUAACUUCUGAAACAUAAUUCCAUAGUCACAGGUCUUAGGAAGCACUCCUCUGUCACCUCAGAGGGGCUGUUCCCAGGCUUUCCCUGCUGCUUCUCUUGGAAGAGGAUGGAAAGAGUAAGGAAGAAGGGCAGUGGGAGGGAGGAUGGUUCCCAUGGUGAUGUCCUACCCUGUCAGUCUGGAGCACUUCUGCCACAACCUGGGGUUCUAAAGUGUGUUUUCUGUGUGGAUAGAGUCUGAGAUUCUCCCAAAGAUCUCUCUUUCUCUGGCAGGAGCAGUUCAGCCCCUCUUUGCAUAUCUGUUGUGCCAAGUGUGGUAACCUCUGCUCAGCCCCUUUCUAACUUCAGACCCGGCCAGAGAUCUGAACAAUGACUGUUUACUGAAGGGAGGAGCUGGUACUUUACAACACCUGAUAGUUAUUCAUACAUUUGAAAAUUUCACAUCUGUUUUUAAAAGCCAGAAAUAAUAUGAAUCUAAAACCAUUGUAACUUUGUUUCUAACUAAAUCUGAAAUGUGUUCAGUUCACCGUGACACAUCAUACAUUUUUAGUUAAUAAAGUUUCUUACAUUUUAGUUUUUAAGGGAAAUAAUAUUUUAGUUGGAUAAUUAUUAGACUUAUGCUGUAUAUGUUGAAAGCAUAAAAGAAUUGAAUGUUUUGCUUUUUAACAAAUAAAAGCUUCUUUGAUAGUAUUAGGUAUGUUACAGCAACUAUAAAUCCUAUCAGAAUAGAUUAGUUUGACAAACCAUUUUAAGUCUUUUGAGGUUUACCAUAGGAUUUUGAUUUAAGCUGUAUCUGAAAACUGACACAUUCACAUGAAUCUAAAGGGAAGAAUUAUCCCUGUACUAACAUAUAUUAAAAGAAACAAUGAUUUUAGAAACAUACUUGUGAUAUUUGAUAAUGAAAAUUAAUUUGGAAUUUCAGAAAUACACAAUUAAAAGCAGAAAUUUUAUUAUUUGCUAUAUGUAUGUCUUGUAAACAUCUUCUCAAGAACAUUUAGAAUUCUUAAACUUUCUUUCCAUAGUUAUAGCGAUCACAGCACUGGUUAGAGGUCCAUAUGUCUCAUUUUGACUCCACAGUAAAUAUCACCACUCCACUGAAUAAAUAAUUUUAUGACUACUAGUUUGGUCUUGAGACGUUUGACAAAGAGAGAGUAAGGUAUCCUGAAAAAAGCAUAAAGCAAAACACAAGUUGAAGCAAGGUUCUCUUCUUAAAUAAUGCAGGUGGCUCCUCUCUAAAGCACACUACUGUUUAGACAGCCAUGUGAAUUACAAAAAGGGUAGUCAAAUCUUAGACAAUUUCUGUUACAAAUUUGGCUUAAACAUGCAACAUUUUGCAUUUUGACAGCAUGUAUAUAUGAAUGUUCAUUUAUGCAAAUAGCAUCCUUUCUCUGGCUUGAGAGCGCUAAGUCUGCGUUCACUAAUUAUGAACUUAGUAGAGGGCUGUGGAUUGAAUGCAUGUUCCGUAAAAUUGAAAUCCUAAGCCUAGUGUGAUGCCAUGUGAAUGCCGGGCUGUGGCUGGCAGCUGGGAUUAGGCAGUUCAUGACCACAACGGUGUCAUGGUUAAUCACCUCAUUAAUAAAAGAAAUGGAAGGGGAGCUCUGUGUGCACUGCUGCCAUAUACAUGUGGAAUGAUUAGACGCCCAUCUAGAAAUAGAGAACACAGACCUCAUCGGUCACUAUAUCUACUAACACUUUGAUCUUGGACAUCCUAGCCUUCAGAUCUGUGAAAAAUAUUUACAUUUAAGCAAAUUAGGUUUUAGAAUGUGCUGUAAGAGCCAAACUGACUUAAGACUUACACAAUAGGAUGGAUAAAGAAUAUAUUGAGAUGGUAGCCCCAGAUACAUACCAUUAUUUAAAUAUGAGACACAGCCCUUAGAGAAAAGUGCAGAAAA
This 2834-nucleotide small RNA is filed under the name Rattus norvegicus (Norway rat). RNAcentral describes it as "uncharacterized LOC103691419". Lineage: Eukaryota; Metazoa; Chordata; Mammalia; Rodentia; Muridae. The record is from RNAcentral.